CAAAUGGCCCUUUUCAGGGCCCCAAAAUAUUCAUACGAUGGUACG
This is a non-coding RNA of Trachymyrmex septentrionalis, 45 nucleotides long. NCBI's taxonomy places the organism in Eukaryota, Metazoa, Arthropoda, Insecta, Hymenoptera, Formicidae. The record is from Rfam.